Molecule: ribosomal RNA, 406 nt
Filed under: uncultured bacterium
Lineage: Bacteria
Description: partial 16S ribosomal RNA
Rfam family: Bacterial small subunit ribosomal RNA
Source: RNAcentral
AUUGAACGCUGGCGGCAGGCCUAACACCUGCAAGUCGAACGAGUGGCGGCCUGGUGAGUACUGUCUGGGCAACUGCCUGAUGUAGGGGGAUAACUACUGGAAACGGUAGCUAAUACCGCAUACCACACGUUGUGCCCAGAUGGGAUUAGCUAGUUGGUGGGGUAACGGCUCACCACGGCGAAGCUCCCUAGCAGGUCUGAGAGGCUGACCAGUCACACUGGAACUUGGACACGGUCCAGACUCCUACGGUGGUCAGCAGUGGGGAAUAUUGCACAAUGGGCGCAAGUCUGAUGCAGCCAUGCCGCGUGUAUGAAGAAGGCCUUGGGGUUGUAAAGUACUGUCAGCAAGGAGGCGUGACUCGAAGAAGAAGCACGGGCGAACGCCGAGGCAGCAGCCGCGGUAAUAC